GUCCACGCCGUAAACGAUGUGUGCUGGAUGUCGGGGGGUAUUCACCCCCUCGGUAUCGAAGCCAACGCGAUAAGCACACCGCCUGGGGAGGUACGGCCGCAAGGUUGAAACUCAAAGGAAUUGACGGGGGCCCCGGCACAAGCGGUGGAGUAUGUGGUUUAAUUCGACGCAACGCGAAGAACCUUACCCAGCCUUGACAUCCUAGGAACCUGGUGGAAACACCGGGUGCCUCCGCAAGGAGGAGCCUGGAGACAGGUGCUGCAUGGCUGUCGU
RNAcentral lists this ribosomal RNA (273 nucleotides) under uncultured bacterium. RNAcentral's name for it is "partial 16S ribosomal RNA". It matches the Rfam family "Bacterial small subunit ribosomal RNA", at positions 793 to 1055 of the family's 1533-position model. The record is from RNAcentral.